ACCUAAUCAAGCCUGGGCAAUGGCGGGUGCCCCUCCCCCAGCCUCGCUGCCGCCUUGCAGUUUGAUCUCAGACUGCUGUGCUAGCAAUCAACGAGACUCUGUGGGCGUAGGACCCUCCGAGCCAGUGAGAUGAACCCCGUACCUCAGAUGGAAAUGCAGAAAUCACCGUCUUCUGCGUCGCCCACGCUGGAAGCUGUAGACCGGAACUGUUCCUAUUCGGCCAUCUUGGCUCCUCCUCGCAGGUACAGAAUCAAGCAAGAAUUGGCUAGGUGAUUCUUCUGCUACACCUGGCUAGGCUUGGCCGAAGCUCAGGGACAGCUCCUCUCAUAUGCCUGGUACCUUGUGGAUAUCUGGAAAACUGAAUUCAUCAAGGCCCCUUUCCCUCAGUGCUGUUGUCUCUCACCUGGUUUCUCUAGUUCUUGUGUAAGUAUUUUAGUGUGUGAAUAGUUGUUUAAAUGUUUCUGCAAGAGGAUGUGCACUGGAAGGUUCUAUUUCAUGAUCUUGACAGUGUCACUGGAGCACCCUCCUGGAUGCAUUUCUGUAUCUUCAAAAGGAAUGCCGGUUAAAAUGUUAAUAAAGUCUCUGAGCAAAGUUGCCUAUACAUAAAAUCCCAGCUACUUGAGAGACUGAUGCUGGAGGAUCCUUGGAGCACAGGAGUUUGAGGUUUCAGUGAGCUAUGAUCAUGCCACUGCACUCCAACCUGGGUGACAAAGCAAGACUUCAUCUCUAAAAAUAAAUAUAAAAUGAAAUAAAAUGUCAAUGAAAUAAUGAUUA
This is a long non-coding RNA of Homo sapiens (human), 774 nucleotides long. Ensembl annotates it as long intergenic non-protein coding RNA 2428. The record is from Ensembl. Lineage: Eukaryota; Metazoa; Chordata; Mammalia; Primates; Hominidae.